RNAcentral lists this ribosomal RNA (411 nucleotides) under uncultured bacterium. RNAcentral's name for it is "partial 16S ribosomal RNA". It matches the Rfam family "Bacterial small subunit ribosomal RNA", at positions 338 to 766 of the family's 1533-position model. The record is from RNAcentral.
CCUACGGGAGACUGCAGUGGGGGAUAUUGCACAAUGGGGGGAACCCUGAUGCAGCGACGCCGCGUGGGUGAAGAAGCGCCUCGGCGCGUAAAGCCCUGUCAGCAGGGAAGAAAAUGACGGUACCUGAAGAAGAAGCCCCGGCUAACUACGUGCCAGCAGCCGCGGUAAUACGUAGGGGGCAAGCGUUAUCCGGAUUUACUGGGUGUAAAGGGGGCGCAGACGGCGAUGCAAGCCAGGAGUGAAAGCCCGGGGCCCAACCCCGGGACUGCUCUUGGAACUGCGUGGCUGGAGUGCAGGAGGGGCAGGCGGGAUGCCUGGUGUAGCGGUGAAAGGCGUGGAGAUCAGGAGGAACACCGGUGGAGAGGGCGGCCUGCUGGACGGUAAGGGACGUGGAGGCCCGCUAGCGUGGGG